RNAcentral lists this ribosomal RNA (449 nucleotides) under uncultured bacterium. RNAcentral describes it as "partial 16S ribosomal RNA". It matches the Rfam family "Bacterial small subunit ribosomal RNA", at positions 355 to 793 of the family's 1533-position model. The record is from RNAcentral.
UAGGGAAUCUUCCACAAUGGACGCAAGUCUGAUGGAGCAACGCCGCGUGAGUGAAGAAGGUUUUCGGACCGUAAAGCUCUGUUGUUGGUGAAGAAGGAUAGAGGUAGUAACUGGCCUUUAUUUGACGGUAAUCAACCAGAAAGUCACGGCUAACUACGAGCCAGCAGCCGCGGUAAUACGUAGGUGGCAAGCGUUGUCCGGAUUUAUUGGGCGUAAAGCGAGCGCAGGCGGAAGAAUAAGUCUGAUGUGAAAGCCCCUCGGCUUAACCGAGGAAUUGCAUCGGAAACUGUUUUUCUUGAGUGCAGAAGAGGAGAGUAGAACUCCAUGUGUAGCGGUGGAAUGCGUAGAUAUAUGGAAGAAUACCAGUGGCGAAGGCGGCUCUCUGGUCUGCAACUGACGCUGAGGCUCGAAAGCAUGGGUAGCGAACAGGAUUAGAUACCCCUUGGUAG